AGUAAAAUGGCUGAGAUUUAGGCGAUAAAUUGUAAAUUUAUUUACGAGAGAAUAUCUCUUUUACUA
RNAcentral lists this transfer RNA (66 nucleotides) under Ornebius bimaculatus. RNAcentral describes it as "tRNA-Tyr". It matches the Rfam family "tRNA". Rfam says of the family: Transfer RNA (tRNA) molecules are approximately 80 nucleotides in length. Their secondary structure includes four short double-helical elements and three loops (D, anti-codon, and T loops). Further hydrogen bonds mediate the characteristic L-shaped molecular structure. tRNAs have two regions of fundamental functional importance: the anti-codon, which is responsible for specific mRNA codon recognition, and the 3' end, to which the tRNAs corresponding amino acid is attached (by aminoacyl-tRNA synthetases). tRNAs cope with the degeneracy of the genetic code in two manners: having more than one tRNA (with a specific anti-codon) for a particular amino acid; and 'wobble' base-pairing, i.e. permitting non-standard base-pairing at the 3rd anti-codon position. The record is from RNAcentral. Lineage: Eukaryota; Metazoa; Arthropoda; Insecta; Orthoptera; Mogoplistidae.